UGGCGGACGGGUGAGUAACGCGUGGGUAACCUGCCUCAUACAGGGGGAUAACAGUUAGAAAUGACUGCUAAUACCGCAUAAGACCACAGCACCGCAUGGUGCAGGGGUAAAAACUCCGGUGGUAUGAGAUGGACCCGCGUCUGAUUAGGUAGUUGGUGGGGUAACGGCCUACCAAGCCGACGAUCAGUAGCCGACCUGAGAGGUUGGCCGGCCACAUUGGGACUGAGACACGGCCCAG
This 238-nucleotide ribosomal RNA is filed under the name uncultured bacterium. RNAcentral describes it as "partial 16S ribosomal RNA". It matches the Rfam family "Bacterial small subunit ribosomal RNA", at positions 96 to 334 of the family's 1533-position model. The record is from RNAcentral.